CAACUAUUUUUUUUUUUAAGAGACCGAUAUCAAUUCCAUUAAAAAGUCCAAGACUUAAGAGAAUUAUACAGAACAGUUUCUAGGGUCUAGAAAAAUAUUACGAGCAAUAUAAGUCUCAAAUUCUGAAAACUUAAAAACUUGACUCAAAUUUGACCCGGUGGCAGUGAUAAUAGCAAGAACCAGAGGAGCCACUUUCUUAGAAUUGUCGUCUUUAGUAGAGUGAUCGAAAAACUCCAUUAAUAAUAAGCAAAAGCCAUAUAUUUACAUACUAAGCACAAAGAGGAGAAAACAUGAAAAACUUUUAGAAAGUCCAUAAAACCAACAGAUUCAGCUCCAAAAAAUGACUAACAAUCAUCGGAUUAAUUGAUACCCAUAGCCAUUAAGAAGAAAGAUGAGUGCUAUACCAAACAUCGAGUUAAGAGCCAUCCACAGAUCGAUAAAAAGGCUAACAAGGAUGAGGGAAGUGUGCUCUUAGACGAUCCAAAUUGUGCUUUCUGAAUCUCUGCUCAACGAGCCAUCAUUGUUGACCAAUAUUAGGCCAAGGUAGAAGAGGGAAGAAACACCGAUCUAGGAUUUCAACCACCAAGGCAAGCACGAGGAGAGAAGAAUAUGAAUCGAGAAGGUACAACCACCAGCAUGCAAAAACAUAAAACCACCAAAAAAGAGAAAAUAACCCAUAGGAAGCACAGAUCUAAAGAAAUAAAGUCUUAGAACACCCGAUCUGAAAAUCUUAGAAUAAAAGAAACAAAGAAAAUUAAGAACAAAGAAACAGAAAAAGAAGAAUAUGCUAGAAUGAAAUAGUCAGGAAAGAGGUCUCCUCUAUCCGAACGAGACGGUGAGGACUCACGACGCUAUAGUCAAUAGAGAGACUAAGCUCUCAAAGAAAAGAGAAGAAAGAAAAACAAAGACCAAGUCAAUUAUAUUACAUCUUUAAUCAUA
Molecule: long non-coding RNA, 939 nt
Filed under: Manihot esculenta (cassava)
Lineage: Eukaryota; Viridiplantae; Streptophyta; Magnoliopsida; Malpighiales; Euphorbiaceae
Description: long non-coding RNA (MESC_LNC007748)
Source: RNAcentral